This is a long non-coding RNA of Bubalus bubalis (water buffalo), 3022 nucleotides long. RefSeq lists it as uncharacterized. NCBI's taxonomy places the organism in Eukaryota, Metazoa, Chordata, Mammalia, Artiodactyla, Bovidae. The transcript is spliced from 2 exons. The record is from RefSeq and is a predicted model, not a curated record.
UGCUGCAAGGGCAAGACCAAGUAAAGGGCUGGGCCUGAAGGACCAGAAAAUACCAUCUUCUACUCAUAUUAAUAUUCAUUCUCAAGUAGAGCCUGUUCAGUGUGGCUGGCACACACACGCAUCUUGGAAACUGGCAAAGAGGAAACCGAGAUUCAUUCAUAGAGGCAGCUCAAGACUGGUUCAUAGGCGUGCCGGCCACCUGGGUGCUUGGAGCUCUUUCCUGACCUGUCCAUGCCUCCUGCUGACCAUGUGGAUGGUCACGUGGCCUCCUCUUUUUAAAAAAAUAUUUAUUUAUUUGGCUGUGUUGGGUCUUAGUUGUUCCACGCGGGGUUUUUGUUGCAGCACAUGGGCUCAGUAGUCGAGGUACGCAGUCUUAGUUGUCCUGCAGCAAGUGGGAUCCUAGUGCCCUGACCAGGGAUCAAACCCACGUGCCCUGCACUGGGAGGUGGAUUCUUAACCACUGGGCCACCAGGGAAGUCCCCGUGUGCCUCCUCUUUCCUCAUCGUGUCAAAUAUGACUGAUGGGAUACAGGAUGCAAGACCUCGGAAAGAAUGAGUGGGGUGUGGAGAUGCUUCCCAUGAGGGACCAAGAGCUGUCCCUCUACAUGCUUCCCCACCCCCAUAACAGGCUAGUCAAGCCCUUGGUCUACCUUCCAGCUUGCCCAUCCCAUGUCCUUCAGCGGACUUCCCUUCCUAACGAAGGACGUUGGCAUGAACAAAGCAUCUCCAGCGCCUGCCUCCUCGCCUCCUGCUGCUGUGGCUGUCUCCCCACCUGAAGCCAUAAAUACAUAUGCAAAGGCCAGUAUGUUAAUUUGUGUUUAAGCACGGAGCCCGGACGCCACCGAGAAAGGGCAUUAGGCGGUGGCCGUGGGUGGGAGGCAACAGAUGGCCUGAUUGCUUUUACCUGUUGCUAAUUUGUUGGGCACCGAUUCCUCGUUUGGGCUUAAUUGUGCCCAGACCUCCCCAGACAGCAGGGUGCCGGACAUUGGACGGCCCUCGGGUACGCACAUGGGGCGAUGAGUCAGGCGCCUGCCUGGCAGUGAAAUGUCUGCCUUGUUCUCUCCUGAUUGGGCUCUGAUCCCUCUCCCGGGCCAGGCACUCAGGACCCUCGGGGCACAAGCUGCAGUGAGGAGGGGGCUGGCAGCGGGGCAGCAGGCCUGACCCUUAUGUUAAUCAGCUGUGUGACCUUGGGUGGGUCGCUUAGCAUCUCUGGGCCCCAUCUGCCUGAUGGGGAAAUGAGCCUAGUCACACCUGCCCUAUCUACUUCGCAGGGUUGCUGUGAGCGUGCGCUGAGAUAAUGGACCUGGGAAGCACUUUGACAUGUGGAAGCCUCUCUAAUAGGGAGGCAUUAUUUGCCAGCGGAGCGGUUAAGAGCUUGGAUUCUGGAGUCAGUGAGACUGGGGCUGAAUUCUUCUUUAAAAAUUUUUUUUGUUUAUGGCUGUGCUGGGUCUUCAUUGCUGUGCACGGUCUUUCUCUCGUUAACGGUGAAUGGGGGCUGCUUUUCAUCACGGUGUGUGGGCUUCACAUCGUGGUGGCUUCAGUGCUUGUGGCUCCCGGGCUCUAGAGCACAGGCUCAAUAAUUGUGGCCCACAGGCUUAGCUGCCCCGCGGCACAUGGGAUCUUCCCGGGCCAGGUACUGAACCUGUGUCCCCUGCAUUGGCCGGUGGCUUCUUGACCACUGGACCACCAGGGAAGCCCCAGGACUGAAUUCUGACUGCCACUUAUAACUGUGAGGCCUUGGGCAAGAAAACUCAAGCUUCUGGAGCCUCAGUUUCCCCACCUGUGCUCUGGGUGAGACUAGCCCCUACUUCAGGGCUAUUGGGAGGAGCAAAGAAGUUAAUGCACCUGCUGGUCCGGCCCUGUGUCCCCAGAAUGCAGCCCCGGGCCGCUAUAAGCCUCAGACAGAUGUGUGACGCGCAGAACACCAGCAACGGAGGCCUCUUACACAGUGCUUUGUUGUCGUUACUGUUUAAUCACUGAGUCAAGUCCAGCUCUUUGCGGCCCCAUGGACUGCCGCUCGCCAGGCUCCGCUGUCCACGGGCUUUCCCAGGCAAGAAGACUGCGGUGGGUUAUUUCCUUCUCCAGGGCAUCUUCCCGACCCAGGGAUCGAACCCGCCUUUGGCAGGUGGAUUCUUUACCACUAAGCCACCCAGGAGUUACUUCCUGUGUGUCAAUCACUGUUCUGUGCGCUUUACAUGCAUUGACUCCUUUAAUCCUCACGACAGCCCUGCCAGGCUGCUAUCAUGACUGUUCCCAGUUGUGAGACUGGGGCAUGGAGAUGUUCACGCACUAGCCUGCAAUCUGCAGGAGGUCAGAGGCAAAGCUGGGGAUUGAGUCUUGCUCCUCAGACUCCAGAGUUGUUCUCUUAACACCCAGAGGCGUCCAAAAUAAUAGUCUCUCGACCUCUGCUUUGCCAAAACUUCUGGAAAAUUCUACGCUCUGUUAUGAACAAGGCCCCUUUUCAGUGGACGAUCGUCCUCUCAGGAAGCCCCCUGAGCUGAGAAUGGAUAUCUCCUUGGUCGGCUUGAGGCAGGAGGUAGAUAGAUGCCCCCUCCACCCCACUGCCAGGGUAAAACAAUUGGAGAUUCAUUCUCUGUGAACUGAAACUCCAAGACCAGAAUAGCAGGACAGUUAAGGCAGGAAGCUGGGCCCUGCCCAGGCCACAUCUCUCUCAUUCUCGAUGUGAGGAGACCUGCCCGACCACACAGGCACAGAAAAGCUCCUUGGAGAUCAAAGGGUAGUGAUGUCAAGGGAUGAUCUACCCAUAGGCCUUUGUGGUAGGAUCCAUCUUGGCUAAGAGAUGCGUGCGCAGACAUGGGAGGAUCCUCAGAUGCAUCAAAUAUGGACUGGGAACCAGGCAAAUCAAAUGAUGAGCCAAAGGAAAACCAGAUGAAAUGCCCCAUAAACGUAAUUCAAACUGCCAUGCGGGUGUGACUCUGACUCUCUCUCUCUGAGCCUGCCCAUCUGUCUAUCCACACAUACUGUACCCUUUUUUUCUCCUAAUAAAUACUUUAUUUGCUUCA